UACGUAGGGUGCAAGCGUUAAUCGGAAUUACUGGGCGUAAAGCGUGCGCAGGCGGUGAUGUAAGACAGGUGUGAAAUCCCCGGGCUUAACCUGGGAACUGCAUUUGUGACUGCAUCGCUGGAGUGCGGCAGAGGGGGGAUGGAAUUCCGCGUGUAGCAGUGAAAUGCGUAGAGAUGCGGAGGAACACCGAUGGCGAAGGCAGCCCCCUGGGCUAACACUGACGCUCAGGCACGAAAGCGUGGGGAGCAAACAGG
This 254-nucleotide ribosomal RNA is filed under the name uncultured bacterium. Its description in RNAcentral is "partial 16S ribosomal RNA". It matches the Rfam family "Bacterial small subunit ribosomal RNA", at positions 524 to 776 of the family's 1533-position model. The record is from RNAcentral.